Molecule: long non-coding RNA, 1034 nt
Organism: Sarcophilus harrisii (Tasmanian devil)
Lineage: Eukaryota; Metazoa; Chordata; Mammalia; Dasyuromorphia; Dasyuridae
Exons: 3
Source: RefSeq, a predicted model, not a curated record
UCCCUCCAUUCCAAUGCAGGCAGCCAGAGGGGAGCAUUGCCAGCUUGGUUGCCACGGUGUCCUGUCAGCCUUCUGGCCAUUAGGGGGAGAACUCGAUUUGUGCAACAGUCCGGAGUCUCUCAAAGGACGGAAAACUCGAGCCCGCUGACCUCUGCUGGGAGCCCUAGAAAUCAGAAUCCAGUUGUUUUCUGCAUCCUUGCCUACCCUGGUACAGAAGGAAUGACGUGCACUCCACAGAGAGGAUACACAGCCCUAAGGAUCGUGAUCUGGACACAGAACUUUAUUCACUGAACGUGCUCAGAGGGGAGAGUUUGAGAACCGAAGUGACUUGCCCUAAAUCACAUAACUAAGGAUCUGAACUGAGGCUUGAACAUGGAAGACCUUGGUUCCCAGGACUCCACACUUUGGCUAGGAUGCAGCUUCAGACAUGACAUCCAUCAGAGGAUUAGAACUGUAAAAAUAAAACAUCUUGUCAAGGCUCCAUAUGCUAUGUCAAGAACAAGACUUAUUGCAAAACAAAUUUACUUACACUUAGAAAUUUAUGAUAUAUCAUCUAAUUCAUCUUUUCUCUCAAAGCUAAUAGAACAUUUGGCAAGUUAGUCCUCAGAGAAGUUGGGAUGUUAGGCUCCAUCUUAACAUGGUGCAAAGGAGCUCAAUCUAUGCAGAAAAAGAGAAAGGCAAUUCCCUCCACCCCCUAAGGAUUUAUUGUUUUCCUCUCCAUCUAAGCACAGGGCCAAGAGCAUUCAUUCCUCACUAGCUCCAUCCAGUAGCCAUUAUCAGUCUACCUCUAUUUAGGAACAGGCAAACCCAGCUUUAAGGAGUAGCUUUGCUUAGGAGCCCAGUGACCCCAAAGCUUUCUCAAUCAUGCUGCUUGUCCCCUAACAGAAUGUUAGCCCUUUGAGGGCUUAAUUGUUGUUUCUGUAUUCUCAGCACUUAGCAUGGUAUAUGGCCACAGUGAUUGGGUAAGAAAUGCUUGAUGAUGAUUCGCUAAUUAAAGCAUGGUGACAUCUCUAGGCAGCUCAGUUACUGAUUCU